Triticum dicoccoides is the source of this 722-nucleotide long non-coding RNA. RefSeq lists it as uncharacterized. The record is from RefSeq and is a predicted model, not a curated record. NCBI's taxonomy places the organism in Eukaryota, Viridiplantae, Streptophyta, Magnoliopsida, Poales, Poaceae. The transcript has 6 exons.
GCCAUGAGGUGCCUGUAACAGGCUCAUAAUAGGAACGAGUGAGGCGAGACACAGCGGCUUGAGGUGCUCGGUAACCUCUACGGUGGAUUGCCUUGUGUGCUGUGGACAAGGAAUCUGGAGUUCAUGUAUCAUUAUCAAACACAAGCUUGUGGAAGGGGUGGGUGUGGCUGGGAGAAAAUGUUAAACAGGAAGGGAAGAAGCUGGAUCACCACAAACGCCAUGGAGGAGAAGCCCACAAAUUGGAUCUCACGAAUUCCACCACCACUCCUCGCCGCCGUCCAUGCUCCGACGUCAGCAGGGCCAGCAAGACGGCGACUUCCACUGGCUGUAAGCCAUCAAAGCUUUGCAUGCGUGAGGCCGGGUUGAUGUUGACUUAAUCAAUCUCCCUGCUGGCGAGGACUUCCUACAGUUAAACACACAUGUCUGGUUAUCAAAGACUCAUGUAGGAUGGUCCCGAGCUCCAAACCAUGGAGGCAGUGGCCUCUUCUCUGUCUCUGUUGAAAAUGUUAAGCACGAAGGAAAGCAGCUGCAUCACCACAAACGCCAAGGAGAAGCACACGAAUGAAUCUGGGUUUCCAUUUUGAAGUUAUAGCUGCUGUACUGAAAGGAAAGGAACUCUUUUCUCCGUGAAAAUGCAAAGAAAAAUAAAUCUGGGUUAUUGGUCACUCACCUGACCCAGGCCCCAGAUAGAGCAAUCGAGGCGGUGGCCAUGGCGCUCCCAG